GACGAACGCUGGCGGCGUGCUUAACACAUGCCAGUCGAACGGAAAGGCCCUGCUUUUGUGGGGUGCUCGAGUGGCGAACGGGUGAGUAACACGUGAGUAACCUGCCCUUGACUUUGGGAUAACUUCAGGAAACUGGGGCUAAUACCGGAUAGGAGCUCCUGCUGCAUGGUGGGGGUUGGAAAGUUUCGGCGGUUGGGGAUGGACUCGCGGCUUAUCAGCUUGUUGGUGGGGUAGUGGCUUACCAAGGCUUUGACGGGUAGCCGGCCUGAGAGGGUGACCGGCCACAUUGGGACUGAGAUACGGCCCAGACUCCUACGGGAGGCAGCAGUGGGGAAUAUUGCACAAUGGGCGGAAGCCUGAUGCAGCAACGCCGGGUGCGGGAUGACGGCCUUCGGGUUGUAAACCGCUUUCGCCUGUGACGAAGCGUGAGUGACGGUAAUGGGUAAAGAAGCACCGGCUAACUACGUG
RNAcentral lists this ribosomal RNA (468 nucleotides) under uncultured bacterium. Its description in RNAcentral is "partial 16S ribosomal RNA". It matches the Rfam family "Bacterial small subunit ribosomal RNA", at positions 28 to 507 of the family's 1533-position model. The record is from RNAcentral.